This 433-nucleotide ribosomal RNA is filed under the name uncultured bacterium. RNAcentral's name for it is "bacterial SSU rRNA". It matches the Rfam family "Bacterial small subunit ribosomal RNA", at positions 29 to 507 of the family's 1533-position model. The record is from RNAcentral.
AACGAACGCUGGCGGCAGGCCUAACACAUGCAAGUCGAGCGCCCCGCAAGGGGAGCGGCGCACGGGUGAGUAACGCGUGGGAAUAUGCCCUGGGGCUGGGGAUAACGGCGGGAAACUGCCGCUAAUACCCGGUACGCCAUGAGUGGGAAAGGAGCAAUCCGCCCUGGGAGUAGCCCGCGUUGGAUUAGCUAGUUGGUGUGGUAAGAGCGCACCAAGGCGACGAUCCAUAGCUGGUCUGAGAGGAUGAUCAGCCACACUGGGACUGAGACACGGCCCAGACUCCUACGGGAGGCAGCAGUGGGGAAUAUUGGACAAUGGGGGCAACCCUGAUCCAGCCAUGCCGCGUGAGUGAAGAAGGCCCUAGGGUUGUAAAGCUCUUUCGCACGCGACGAUGAUGACGGUAGCGUGAGAAGAAGCCCCGGCUAACUUCGUG